GAUGAACGCUGGCGGCGUGCCUAAUACAUGCAAGUCGAGCGAAUGGAUUAAGAGCUUGCUCUUAUGAAGUUAGCGGCGGACGGGUGAGUAACACGUGGGUAACCUGCCCAUAAGACUGGGAUAACUCCGGGAAACCGGGGCUAAUACCGGAUAACAUUUUGAACCGCAUGGUUCGAAAUUGAAAGGCGGCUUCGGCUGUCACUUAUGGCUGGACCCGCGUCGCAUUAGCUAGGUGGUGAGGUAACGGCUCACCAAGGCAACGAUGCGUAGCCGACCUGAGAGGGUGAUCGGCCACACUGGGACUGAGACACGGCCCAGACUCCUACGGGAGGCAGCAGUAGGGAUUCUUCCGCAAUGGACGAAAGUCUGACGGAGCAACGCCGCGUGAGUGAGGAAGGCUUUCGGGUCGUAAAACUCUGUUGUUAGGGAAGAACAAGUGCUAGUUGAAUAAGCUGGCACCUUGACGGUACCUAACCAGAAAGCCACGGCUAACUACGUGCCAGCCGCCGUAAUAC
This 515-nucleotide ribosomal RNA is filed under the name uncultured bacterium. RNAcentral's name for it is "partial 16S ribosomal RNA". It matches the Rfam family "Bacterial small subunit ribosomal RNA", at positions 28 to 526 of the family's 1533-position model. The record is from RNAcentral.